This 433-nucleotide ribosomal RNA is filed under the name uncultured bacterium. RNAcentral's name for it is "partial 16S ribosomal RNA". It matches the Rfam family "Bacterial small subunit ribosomal RNA", at positions 29 to 507 of the family's 1533-position model. The record is from RNAcentral.
AACGAACGCUGGCGGCAGGCCUAACACAUGCAAGUCGAGCGCGCCCUUCGGGGUGAGCGGCGGACGGGUGAGUAACGCGUGGGAACGUGCCCUUUUCUACGGAAUAGCCUCGGGAAACUGAGAGUAAUACCGUAUACGCCCUUUGGGGGAAAGAUUUAUCGGAAAAGGAUCGGCCCGCGUUGGAUUAGGUAGUUGGUGGGGUAAUGGCCUACCAAGCCGACGAUCCAUAGCUGGUUUGAGAGGAUGAUCAGCCACACUGGGACUGAGACACGGCCCAGACUCCUACGGGAGGCAGCAGUGGGGAAUCGUAGACAAUGGGGGCAACCCUGAUCUAGCCAGGCCGCGUGAGUGAUGAAGGCCUUAGGGUUGUAAAGCUCUUUCAGCUGGGAAGAUAAUGACGGUACCAGCAGAAGAAGCCCCGGCUAACUCCGUG